CCUACGGGAGGCAGCAGUGGGGAAUAUUGCACAAUGGGGGAAACCCUGAUGCAGCGACGCAGCGUGAGUGAAGAAGUAAUUCGUUAUGUAAAGCUCUAUCAGCAGGGAAGAAAAUGACGGUACCUGAGUAAGAAGCCCCGGCUAACUACGUGCCAGCAGCCGCGGUAAUACGUAGGGGGCAAGCGUUAUCCGGAUUUACUGGGUGUAAAGGGAGCGUAGACGGCAGUGCAAGUCUGGAGUGAAAGGCGGGGGCUCAACCCCCGGACUGCUCUGGAAACUGUACGGCUUGAGUGCAGGAGAGGUAAGUGGAAUUCCUAGUGUAGCGGUGAAAUGCGUAGAUAUUAGGAGGAACACCAGUGGCGAAGGCGGCUUACUGGACUGUAACUGACGUUGAGGCUCGAAAGCGUGGGGAGCAAACAGGAUUAGAUACCCCAGUAGUC
Molecule: ribosomal RNA, 440 nt
Filed under: uncultured bacterium
Lineage: Bacteria
Description: partial 16S ribosomal RNA
Rfam family: Bacterial small subunit ribosomal RNA
Source: RNAcentral